Corvus hawaiiensis (hawaiian crow) is the source of this 295-nucleotide long non-coding RNA. RefSeq lists it as uncharacterized. The transcript has 2 exons. Lineage: Eukaryota; Metazoa; Chordata; Aves; Passeriformes; Corvidae. The record is from RefSeq and is a predicted model, not a curated record.
GCAUGGAGUUGUACUGCAUGCGCUGCACCUCGGCAGAGAAACACCUGAGCUAUAGCAAAGCUGAAGCUGGGAUAAUGCACAGGCAAGGAGUCAAACCUGGAAUUUCAGCUCCAUGAAUGCACCAAUGGCCCAGCAUAGCUCCCAGAGCCAUGUCAUUGACUUGGAGAGCCCACGGACAAUGCUGACACUCAGGUACCUUUCUAUCCCAUGUCUUGGUGCUUCUGAGGUGGGUUGUAGGAGCUGUAUUUUUAUUCUGGAUCCUCUCAGUUUUCUUCUUCCUGAUGGCAGCUUCCAG